UACAGAGGUCCCAAGCGUUGUUCGGAAUUACUGGGCGUAAAGGGUGCGUAGGAGGCAUCGUAAGUCAAACGUGAAAUCUCUCCGCUUAACGGAGAAACUGCGUUCGAUACUACUUUGCUAGAGGAUCGGAGAGGAGAAUGGAAUUCCUGGUGUAGCGGUGAAAUGCGUAGAUAUCAGGAGGAACACCGAUGGCGAAAGCAAUUCUCUGGAAGAUUUCUGACUCUGAAGCACGAAGGCUAGGGGAGCAAACAGG
RNAcentral lists this ribosomal RNA (253 nucleotides) under uncultured bacterium. RNAcentral describes it as "partial 16S ribosomal RNA". It matches the Rfam family "Bacterial small subunit ribosomal RNA", at positions 524 to 776 of the family's 1533-position model. The record is from RNAcentral.